AUUGAACGCUGGCGGCAGGCCUAACACAUGCAAGUCGAGCGGAUGAAGGGAGCUUGCUCCUGGAUUCAGCGGCGGACGGGUGAGUAAUGCCUAGGAAUCUGCCUGGUAGUGGGGGAUAACGUCCGGAAACGGGCGCUAAUACCGCAUACGUUCUGAGGGAGAAAGUGGGGGAUCUUCGGACCUCACGCUAUCAGAUGAGCCUAGGUCGGAUUAGCUAGUUGGUGGGGUAAAGGCUUACCAGGGCGACGAUCCGUAACUGGUCUGAGAGGAUGAUCAGUCACACUGGAACUGAGACACGGUCCAGACUCCUACGGGAGGAAGCAGUGGGGAAUAUUGGACAAUGGGCGAAAGCCUGAUCCAGCCAUGCCGCGUGUGUGAAGAAGGUCUUCGGAUUGUAAAGCACUUUAAGUUGGAAGGAAGAGCAGUAAGUUAAUACCUUGCUGUUUUGACGUUACCAACAGAAUAAGCACCGGCUAACUUCGU
RNAcentral lists this ribosomal RNA (483 nucleotides) under uncultured bacterium. RNAcentral's name for it is "partial 16S ribosomal RNA". It matches the Rfam family "Bacterial small subunit ribosomal RNA", at positions 30 to 506 of the family's 1533-position model. The record is from RNAcentral.